Molecule: ribosomal RNA, 253 nt
Filed under: uncultured bacterium
Lineage: Bacteria
Description: partial 16S ribosomal RNA
Rfam family: Bacterial small subunit ribosomal RNA
Source: RNAcentral
UACGUAGGUGGCAAGCGUUGUCCGGAAUUACUGGGCGUAAAGAGCUCGUAGGCGGUUUGUCGCGUCGUCCGUGAAAACUUGGGGCUCAACCCCAAGCUUGCGGGCGAUACGGGCAGACUUGAGUACUGCAGGGGAGACUGGAAUUCCUGGUGUAGCGGUGAAAUGCGCAGAUAUCAGGAGGAACACCGGUGGCGAAGGCGGGUCUCUGGGCAGUAACUGACGCUGAGGAGCGAAAGCGUGGGUAGCAAACAGG